UAAAACUCUGCCAACUAGCGAUCCGUCGAUAGUAAUUUUGCUUUGAUGGGGAGCUAAUCGGAAACGAAAGUCUUCCGGUUCCGGGGGAAGUAUGGUUGCAAAGCUGAAACUUAAAGAAAUUGACGGAAGGGCACCACCAGGAGUGGAGCCUGCGGCUUAAUUUGACUCAACACGGGAAAACUCACCCGGCCCGGACACUGUAAGGAUUGACAGAUUGAAAGCUCUUUCUUGAUUCGGUGGAUGGUGGUGCAUGGCCGUUCUUAGU
This 265-nucleotide ribosomal RNA is filed under the name Steinernema riobrave. RNAcentral describes it as "partial 18S ribosomal RNA". It matches the Rfam family "Eukaryotic small subunit ribosomal RNA", at positions 1031 to 1298 of the family's 1831-position model. Lineage: Eukaryota; Metazoa; Nematoda; Chromadorea; Rhabditida; Steinernematidae. The record is from RNAcentral.